This 465-nucleotide ribosomal RNA is filed under the name Vreelandella stevensii. Its description in RNAcentral is "partial 16S ribosomal RNA". It matches the Rfam family "Bacterial small subunit ribosomal RNA", at positions 338 to 795 of the family's 1533-position model. The record is from RNAcentral. Lineage: Bacteria; Pseudomonadati; Pseudomonadota; Gammaproteobacteria; Oceanospirillales; Halomonadaceae.
CCUACGGGGCGCAGCAGUGGGGAAUAUUGGACAAUGGGCGAAAGCCUGAUCCAGCCAUGCCGCGUGUGUGAAGAAGGCCUUCGGGUUGUAAAGCACUUUCAGUGGGGAAGAAAGCCUUGGGGCUAAUACCCUCGAGGAAGGACAUCACCCACAGAAGAAGCACCGGCUAACUCCGUGCCAGCAGCCGCGGUAAUACGGAGGGUGCGAGCGUUAAUCGGAAUUACUGGGCGUAAAGCGCGCGUAGGCGGUCUGAUAAGCCGGUUGUGAAAGCCCCGGGCUCAACCUGGGAACGGCAUCCGGAACUGUCAGGCUAGAGUGCAGGAGAGGAAGGUAGAAUUCCCGGUGUAGCGGUGAAAUGCGUAGAGAUCGGGAGGAAUACCAGUGGCGUAGGCGGCCUUCUGGACUGACACUGACGCUGAGGUGCGAAAGCGUGGGUAGCAAACAGGAUUAGAUACCCGAGUAGUC